UGUAGGUAGUGGUAUUCAGAAGAUAUUGAAGGUGUGGCCACAGACCAGUGUCCUGCCCCCUCAGAUUCACUACUUGAUGUUAGCACCAAUCCCAGUACAGAUUGGACUCAAUAGGUCAAUGGAAAUCAAAGAGAGGGACAGAAUGGGGACAUCAAAUUUAUUCUAUCAAAGGAUGUGGUAUCUUGUGAGGCCAGUCAUUCCCUGGCAGAGUGUGUCUUACUGGGUGUCUGGUCUAUGACUAUUGAGCUAUUGGGACGGGUCUCUCCUGAGUCAGUUGGCAAACUCAAGCACUCAAUAUUCAACCAGUUGCAAGAUGUUUCUUGAAUGGGAGGAGACUCUGUUGUUGCUAUGGCAAGUUCAUUUAGGCUCUGAUGAGGACUUUAUUAAUGGACAAUAUUAUUG
Molecule: long non-coding RNA, 402 nt
Organism: Amphimedon queenslandica
Lineage: Eukaryota; Metazoa; Porifera; Demospongiae; Haplosclerida; Niphatidae
Exons: 3
Source: RefSeq, a predicted model, not a curated record